AGAGGUGGCAAGCGUUGUUCGGAAUUACUGGGCGUAAAGGGCGCGCAGGCGGUUUGCCAAGUCUCGUGUGAAAUCCCCCGGCUCAACUGGGGAACUGCGCGGGAUACUAGUGGACUUGAGUUCGGGAGAGGAAAGCGGAAUUCCGGGUGUAGCGGUGAAAUGCGCAGAUAUCCGGAGGAACACCAGUGGCGAAGGCGGCUUUCUGGACCGACACUGACGCUGAGGCGCGAAAGCUAGGGGAGCGAACGGGAUUAGAUACCCCGGUAGUCCUAGCCCUAAACGAUGAGCACUGGGUGUAGGGGGUAUGAACCCCCCCCCCCCCCCUGUGCCGAAGCUAACGCAUUAAGUGCUCCGCCUGGGGAGUACGGUCGCAAGGCUG
RNAcentral lists this ribosomal RNA (379 nucleotides) under uncultured organism. RNAcentral describes it as "partial 16S ribosomal RNA". It matches the Rfam family "Bacterial small subunit ribosomal RNA", at positions 527 to 896 of the family's 1533-position model. The record is from RNAcentral.